AAGUCGUAACAAGGUUUCCGUAGGUGAACCUGCGGAAGGAUCAUUACCACGUUAUUCCAACGUCACUCACCACGCGAUAUGUUUUCACUAUCUCCCGUCAUCCUGCAUGUGUCGGCUACGCUAGUAACGGAGGGUCUGGGAUGGGUUCAGUCGGGUUCCGGCUGUCCGAACUCCGAGGCGGACAUUACGACAGUAGUAGGCGGCGGCUAGCUGCGGAUGAGUAGUUUGCUCUAUCUCAUGAACAAAAGUUCGCGGCACAUCUUUUUAAAUAAAACAAUUUUCACCCUUUUUGCUAGUUGACUUUAUCUGCUCGUCAUUCUCUCUUCAUUGAGAGGUGCGGCACGUUUAAUCUAAUUGAACGUUAAAAUCAAUACAACUCUUAGCAAUGGAUAUCUUGGUUCUC
RNAcentral lists this unclassified non-coding RNA (403 nucleotides) under fungal sp. RNAcentral's name for it is "partial internal transcribed spacer region". The stretch from base 1 to 46 matches the Rfam family "Eukaryotic small subunit ribosomal RNA", at positions 1786 to 1831 of the family's 1831-position model. The record is from RNAcentral. Lineage: Eukaryota; Fungi.